UCCCCACGAUGACACUGAGUCCUUUACUGUGUUCUUGAGGUCAGAUGUGGAAGCAAAAGCUCUGGAAGUUUGGGGAAGCCUUGAAGCUCUUGCCAGAGAGAAAAAAUUGCGUAAAGAAGCAGAGAUAGAAUACAGAGAACGGCUGUUUAGAAACCAAAGAAUACUAAGAGAAUAUGGUGAUUUCUUGGGAAACACAAAGCCACGCUCCAGAGCGAUCUCAGUGUUCCUUAAGGGACCAGGAAAGGUGGUGAUGGUCGCUAUUUGCAUUAAUGGCUUAAACUGCUUCUUUAAAUUUCUUGCCUGGAUUUAUACGGGUUCAGCAAGUAUGUUCUCAGAAGCUAUACAUUCAUUAUCUGAUACUUGUAACCAGGGUUUGCUAGCACUGGGCAUCAGCAAGUCUGUUCAAACACCAGAUCCUUCUCACCCGCAUAUUGUAUUUUAGCAGGAUCUUUGGUGUCUGAA
This 462-nucleotide long non-coding RNA is filed under the name Rattus norvegicus (Norway rat). RNAcentral describes it as "long non-coding RNA NONRATT009875". The record is from RNAcentral. Lineage: Eukaryota; Metazoa; Chordata; Mammalia; Rodentia; Muridae.